GACGAACGCUGGCGGCGUGCUUAACACAUGCAAGUCGAACGGAAAGGCCUGCUUUCCCUUGUGGAUUGCGGGUACUCGAGUGGCGAACGGGUGAGUAACACGUGAGUGAUCUGCCCCCAACUUGGGUAUAAGCCUGGGAAACUGGGUCUAAUUCCCGAUAGGACUGCAGGGUGGUGCCUGUGGUGGAAAACGAUUUUCUAGUGGUUGGGGAUGAGCUCGCGGCCUAUCAGCUUGUUGGUGGGGUAAUGGCCUACCAAGGCGGCGCCGGGUAGCCGGCCUGGGAGGGUGGACGGCCACAUUGGGACUGAGAUACGGCCCAGACUCCUACGGGAGGCAGCAGUGGGGAAUAUUGCACAAUGGGCGGAAGCCUGAUGCAGCGACGCCGCGUGGGGGAUGACGGCCUUCGGGUUGUAAACUCCUUUCGACCGCGAGGAAGCCACCUGGUUGGAAGGGUGGUGACGGUAGUGGUAGAAGAAGCACCGGCUAACUACGUG
This 494-nucleotide ribosomal RNA is filed under the name uncultured bacterium. RNAcentral's name for it is "partial 16S ribosomal RNA". It matches the Rfam family "Bacterial small subunit ribosomal RNA", at positions 28 to 507 of the family's 1533-position model. The record is from RNAcentral.